AGCGAACGUUAGCGGCGCGCCUAACACAUGCAAGUCGCACGAGAAACGGAGCAAUCCGCGGUACAGUGGCGCACGGGUGAGUAACACGUGGAUGACCUUCCCUGGAGUGGUGGAUAACCUGCCGAAAGGCGGGCUAAUACAGCAUGGGACCACGACGCUUUGGCGAUGUGGUGAAAGCGGGCCUCUAUAUAUAAGCUCGCGCUCCGGGACGGGUCCGCGUCCCAUCAGCUAGUUGGUGAGGUAACGGCUCACCAAGGCAACGACGGGUAGCUGGUCUGAGAGGAUGGCCAGCCACACUGGAACUGAGACACGGUCCAGACUCCUACGGGAGGCAGCAGUGGGGAAUCUUGCGCAAUG
RNAcentral lists this ribosomal RNA (357 nucleotides) under uncultured bacterium. RNAcentral's name for it is "bacterial SSU rRNA". It matches the Rfam family "Bacterial small subunit ribosomal RNA", at positions 29 to 373 of the family's 1533-position model. The record is from RNAcentral.